Schistocerca gregaria is the source of this 3707-nucleotide long non-coding RNA. RefSeq lists it as uncharacterized. The record is from RefSeq and is a predicted model, not a curated record. The transcript is spliced from 3 exons. Lineage: Eukaryota; Metazoa; Arthropoda; Insecta; Orthoptera; Acrididae.
GUAUAGAUUAUAGCAUUAUACAUAACCGAGGUUCUUUGGUGGGCACACAAGCGUUUGGCGCUGUUGGUAUUAGCUGUCGGUCGCAAAGUAAUUAAGUAAUGCGAUAGACACCGUAUUGAUUGAAGAUAAAGUAACAUCAGAAAACCCGUCAGUCACCAGGAAAUGUGAAAUCUUUUUCGAAACAAGCGCACGUCAGUUUCUUACUUAUCGACAAAUGCAAACAUAUAUCAAUGACAUCCACCACUGUAAAUUUUGCCUAAUGACAAACGUAAACAUCUGAGUGAACGCCCAAACGCACACAAGGGUAUUUGAAAUAUAGGAGGUAACGUUGGUUACAGAAAACUCGGAUCAUUUGGGCUGUCAUAUUAGGAUGGAAGUCACACAUCUUGAAGAUUUGCAAUCAAUGAACAUUGUUUUGAGCUGAAGUAGCAAAAUGCAACUUUGUUAACAUAUGGAAUUGUCAUUUUCAGUGACAAGAGUUUAAAAAAUGAAAGAAAUUAAGAAUGUAUUAGAGAAAAGUGAAAACAUCCCCGCAUGGAAUUUAUCAGUUUAAAUGAUUAUGAUUCAUUACUUGAAGAUAGUGGUCUGUCAGAUACUGUAGUACCAAAUGAUGUACGGCCAAAUACUACUACACCGUACAACUGAGGACUGUGACAGUGUAAUGAAGCAGAACAUUAAGUGAAUUUAAUAAAAAAGGCAUGUAAAGGGUGUGGUCCAGAUUGUGAUACAAUCUGAGAUUUCAAUAGUUAGCAAAGGAUAAUUGUGAAUUUGAUGUCAUUCUAAUCACUUACACACUGAUGAGCCAAAACAUUACAACUAUUGUGAGAUUGAAUGCUGCAGGGUGGUGGUGCGGUGGUGUUGGUGUGGGCAUGUGAUGUAAGGAAAGUAAACAGGGUGGUCGGAAAUUCCCAUUACAAACUUCCAGGACAUGUAGAGGGUAGAGAGUACAGAACAUUUUGAAUAGUAACCCAUGUCCAGAAUCGUAUCGUUUCCGUUCUACGACAGUUUCAAUUCUGAUGUCUCAAGAGUUCCCUGUCAUGGUAUGCAACAGGGUAGACACAAUGAUGUGUACUACAUCAAAUGAUCCUCAGAUGUCCCUUAUUGUCCACUAUACUGUGAGACUGAUUCAAUACCUGUGCAUCACUGAUAGAGGAAACAUGGUGUAGUACACGUUUGCGGAAUACACAGACACGCUCCCUGUGUAUAGCGAAGUUGGAGGUAACGGAAGAGCUGCUAGUCCAACAGUUUUCCACACUGUCACACUCCAUCACACAAACUGUUUGCCCAAGUUACACAACGGCUAUGAGAAACAGGUACCUUCACUGUGAGGAGGCAGGGCGGUGGUGCUCCACGGCGAUGCUGCACUCCCGAAUUUGAAGAAUGUGUACUGUGUUGCAUUGAAGAUAGCCUGUCAACGAGUUCACGAACAAUUGAACAAUUGCUGUUUUGUCUAAAACUUAUAUGGUGAGACCGUGGCUGUAUACAGUUAAUGUAGGUUAGUUCUUACAAAGAAGAAAACAGCAACCAGCCACUAUUGACACUGCUAUUUAUUUAGGUAAAUAGGGCUGUUACCGGUUUCGAACUGGCACAUUCAUCAUCAGACAACUCUUCACAUGAUUUUAAAAAUACACUUUACAUUAUCGUCCAUUUUUAAUUUUUAUAAUUCCACUGUGGUGAAGUAUUUUUGAUGUGUUAUUACCCUACGGUAGAAAAACAGUGUUAGAAGCGCCUAUGUAAAAAUAACUAACCUCCAAACGAUGAAAUACAGCAUAAAUAAAUAUGUGAGGUUAAGUGGUUAUGGUACUUACGUCGAAAAUUCUGCAAGAUUUUGUUGCGAAGUUGCAGGAUUGUAUUUUUCGCAUAUUCCUAAAUACAUCCAGCACUUAUGUAACUACGCGUGCACACACACACACACACACACACACACACACACACACACACACACACACAAUUUGCCACAUGUGAAGUUAUCACAGAGAUUGCAGAUUUACAAACACAACAGUGUCAGAGACGUUCUCCCUGAGGCAUUGCAAUAUACAGGUUGCUUUGAUUUCAUAGAAUGGCUGUUUUUAAAGAAUAACAUAACUUAAUGAAAAUUAAAACACAAAGAUAAACCUUACAUUAUGAGUGUGUAAUAUUACAAAUGAAGUUGACAGAAGUAGUAACCAGCUUGUGUGAAUGCUACUUAUAUGGUAAUUUGUAAAUACUGUGCUAUAUACAAGGAGCAACAUAGAGGUGAGCUAAAAUGAAUAUUAUGACGGUAACAAUUGUAUUAACAUCUAUCUAUGGUGCACUGAAAUUUUGAAUCAAGUAUAAUAGCAGGUGUGUGUUUGCGCCCCCCCCCCCCCCCCAAAAAAAAAAAAAAAAAAAGAAGAAGAAAGACCUCCUCAACUGUACAAUCUACACUUGCAGCUUAGCAAUAGCCUUUCCAGCGUACAGUUCUCCAACAUAUUGCAAUACAUUGACAACAUCAUUUUCGGUACAUUGCUGCUGGUGCCGUAGAUGCUGGGUACUUGUUGUUGACGACUAACAUAAACCAUAAGGUGUAAGUUGUAGUUCAAAUGCCUAAGUAAUAACAGAACGAGUCGGUAUUCUUUUCAAAUGGAUUGCAACAAUUGUACUGGGUCACGCCUAAGUACAUUCCUCAUGUGGGUGUGGAUGGGAUAAUCAUCUGCAUUGGAACCGUCGUAGAAUAGAAACGGUAUGUUUCUGGACAUGGAUUCCUAUUCAAAAUGUUAUUUACUCACUACCCUCUACACGUCCUAGAAGUUUGUAAAGGGGAUUUCCAACCACCUUGUAUAAGAAAAGCAGGGAUUAAUGGGGAAAUCCACUGAUAUUAAUGACUUUGACAAAGACCCGGCAUCUGGGAAUGAGCAUUUUCGAAUCACUACUGUUAUCAGUAUAUAUAGAAAAGGGGUUGACGAAUGGUGAGACGGUGAGUAAGAGGCAAGGCGUACAGAAUAAAAUUUUCACUUUGCAGCAGUGUGCGCACUGAUAUGAAGAGAUAAGGUGUUAGACAUUCAUGCUUCAUCACAGAACAUGAAGUCUGGAGGAUUGCUUGCUCUGUAAAACAGCAUAGGUGGUAGUGAUGUGUGGCAGAUCUGAAGACAGAAUACAGUGCUGUUGCAAGCACAAGUUUUGCAGAGCAUACCAUUCAGCGCACUUUGCCAUUCUUAAUAGACAAACCCUAUGUACUCUGAUGUUGACAUAGUAACUUGCACUGGGCAUGGAAACAUUGAGAUUGGACGGUGGAUCAAUGGAAACAUGUUCUCUGGUUAGAUGAAUCACAUUUCUCAUUGCAGCAGGUCAAGGGUAAGUGUUCAGAUAUGGUGAACGGCUGCUACAAAUGCGCACUGUGUCACAGAUGCAGGCCUGCUGGGGUACUAUUAAGCCUGGGCUUCCAUGGAUCCUGUGGUAGUAAUUUAAGGUAUCAUGACAACUGUGGACUAGUACCUUUCAGAUGAGUUUUACAAACAACUGUGUGUCACACCCAAUUAAAUUCUAAAGACAGUACCACAGGUGCUCUUACUAACACCAUAGGAUAUAUUGCUGCAGUCAUUAAGAUUGCUGCACAAGAUCAGACAGGGCAAGACACUGUCUGAGAAUUAUUUAUUUGUGGAAACAGCACCAGAAUGCUUAUUCAUGUACUUUAUGAAUUCUGCCGGCUCUGUUUGAAAUCCAACUAAAUAAAAUUGCUUACAGUUUCA